This 360-nucleotide ribosomal RNA is filed under the name Triticum aestivum (bread wheat). RNAcentral's name for it is "partial small subunit ribosomal RNA". The record is from RNAcentral. Lineage: Eukaryota; Viridiplantae; Streptophyta; Magnoliopsida; Poales; Poaceae.
AUGUCAUGUCCGUCCACCCCCUUGUCGCAACACUAUUCAGAAUUUCCAAAAAGACUAGACUGUUGUUUUAGAAAGGUUGUCAUCCAUUGUGUGUACUCUUUGCUUCUGUGCCACUACAGCUUUGCGGUGCCUGUGUCUGGACAGAUUGAUUUUUAUCUAUCAUGUGAUGGUGCGGACAGAAUCGAUUGGUUGGGGCAAACCGAUUUACGUUUUAUCAUAAAAAAUCCUGGUACCUUUUGUAGUGUUUGUUGUGUGUUUUCUGGACACUUCGGAAAUUUAACAAACAGAGACAGAUACAAUGACAAAUUCCGCAAUGAAAAUGAAAAUUGCUGUGUGUUUUCUGGAGACUUCGGAAAUUGA